RNAcentral lists this ribosomal RNA (24 nucleotides) under Jacobaea paludosa. Its description in RNAcentral is "partial 25S ribosomal RNA". RNAcentral also lists the same sequence under 1 other name. Lineage: Eukaryota; Viridiplantae; Streptophyta; Magnoliopsida; Asterales; Asteraceae. The record is from RNAcentral.
GCGACCCAGGUCAGGCGGGACUAC